This is an RNA transcript of Perognathus longimembris pacificus (Pacific pocket mouse), 2266 nucleotides long. It is a transcript of the gene named WD repeat-containing protein 26-like, with no coding region annotated. The transcript has a single exon. Lineage: Eukaryota; Metazoa; Chordata; Mammalia; Rodentia; Heteromyidae. The record is from RefSeq and is a predicted model, not a curated record.
CUCUCAGUCGGACGAGGACGUCAUCCGGCUGAUCUGACAGCACCUGAACGGCCUCGGCCUGAAGCAGACUGUUGAUCUCCUCAUGUAAGAGUCAGGAUGUCGUUUAGAACAUCCUUCUGCUACCAAAUUCCGAAAUCAUGUCAUGGAAAGAGACUGGGAUAAGGCAGAAAAUGACCUAAAUGAAAUAAAGCCUUUAGUACAUUCUCCUCAUGCUAUUGUGAGGAUGAAGUUUUUGCUGCUGCAGCAGAAGUACCUGGAAUACCUGGAGGAUGGCAAGGUCCUGGAGGCGCUUCAGGUUCUACGCUGUGAACUGACGCCCCUGAAGUACAAUACAGAGCGCAUUCAUGUUCUGAGUGGAUAUCUGAUGUGUAGCCAUGCAGAAGACCUAAGAGCAAAAGCAGAAUGGGAAGGCAAAGGAACAGCUUCCCAAUCAAAACUGUUGGAUAAACUUCAGACUUAUUUACCACCAUCAGUGAUGCUUCCCCCACAGCGUUUACAGACUCUCCUGCGGCAGGCGGUGGAACUACAAAGGGAUCGGUGCCUAUACCACAAUACCAAACUUGAUAAUAAUCUAGAUUCUGUGUCUCUACUUAUAGAUAAUGUUUGCAGUAGGAGACAAUUUCCGUUAUACUCAGCAAAUACUUACGGAGCAUUGUAAUGAAGUGUGGUUCUGUAAAUUCUCUAAUGAUGGCACUAAGCUAGCAACAGGAUCAAAAGAUACAACUGUUAUCAUAUGGAAAGUUGAUCCGGAUACACACCUGCUGAAACUUCUUAAGACAUUAGAAGAACAUGCUUACGGAGUUUCUUACAUUGCAUGGAGUCUGGAUGACAACUAUCUUGUUGCCUGUGGCCCAGACGACUGCUCUGAGCUUUGGCUUUGGAAUGUAUAAACAGGAGAACUAAGGACAAAAAUGAGCCAGUCUCAUGAGGACAAUUUGACAAGUGUGGCAUGGAAUCCUGAUGGCAAGCGCUUUGUGACUGGAGGCCAGCGUGGACAUUCUACCAGUGUGAUCUGGAUGGAAAUCUCCUUGACUCCUGGGAAGGGGUAAGAGUGCAAUGCCUGUGGUGUUUGAGUGAUGGGAAGACUGUUCUGGCAUCAGAUACACACCAGCGGAUUCGGGGAUACAACUUUGAGGACCUUACAGACUGGAACAUAGUACAAGAAGAUCAUCCUAUUAUGUCUUUUACAAUUUCAAAAAAUGGACGAUUAGCUUUGUUAAAUGUAGCUACUCAGGGAGUUCAUUUAUGGGACUUACAAGACAGAGUUUUAGUAAGGAAGUAUCAAGGUGUUACUCAAAGGUUUUAUACAAUUCAUUCGUGUUUUGGAGGCCAUAAUGAAGACUUCAUCGCUAGUGGCAGUGAAGAUCACAAGGUUUACAUCUGGCACAAAUGUAGCGAACUGCCUAUAGCAGAGCUGACAGGACACACGCGUACAGUGAACUGUGUGAGCUGGAAUCCACAAAUCCCAUCCAUGAUGGCCAGUGCCUCAGAUGACGGCACUGUUAGAAUAUGGGGACCAGCACCUUUUAUAGACCACCAGAAUAUUGAAGAGGAAUUCAGUAGCAUGGAUAGUUGAUAGCAAAUUUGGAGGAGACGACUUCUGUUUAACUUAAAAUUAGUCGUUUUUUAAUGGCUUGGGAUUUGGUGCAAACAAACAUGAUUGAUAGCUGGACAGACAUGAUCAUCAUGAAUAAAGAACCAUUUCUGAAGCCCGAUUGGGGCCAAACAUGUACACCUUGCUUCAUAGUAACCAGUUGAAAUGAAGCACAUCUUAGAACGUUGUUGGACGCCAUGUUGAAUUCUCCCCCCAUCGGUUGUGAAGAACUAUGCUACAUCCAGGCUUACCCAUUGAACUCAGUAUAUAUAUAUAUAUUUUCCCUCCUGCCUUUUGUCUGGCAGGAUAACAUUCUUAUUGCUCUUCUGUGUAAUGAAGUUUAAAUGCUUGUUUGGAAAACUUUAUUUAACAGUUUAGAAGCCUUGAUAGGAAGAGUGCAUUAGUCUGAAGAGUAUUCAUUGGAUAGGAAAGAAUUUCCUUCUUUUGUUUCUCCAAAUCUUUCCGCCUUAUUUAGCUUGAGAUCUUUGCAGCUUGGUUCAUGGAUUUUAGCCUUGCCCGUUGCGCAGUAUAUACUGAUCCAGAUGACAAAACCAGUGAACUAUGUCAAAAGCACUCUCAAUAUUACAUUUGACAAAAAGUUUUGUAUUUUUCACAUAGCUUGUUGCCCGUAAAAGGGUUAACAGCACAAUUUUUUUAAAAUAAAUUAAGAAG